CGAGGAAUUUUGCAAAUCGACGGAAGUCGGAUGCAGCAACGCCGCGUGCGGGAAGAAGGCCCUCGGGUUGUAAACCGCUUUUGUGGGGGAAGCGGUACCCCACGAAUAAGUCACGGCUAACUACGUGCCAGCAGCCGCGGUAAUACGUAGGUGGCGAACGUUGUCCGGAUUCACUGGGCGUAAAGCGCGCGCAGGCGGAUUGGUCAGUCCGAGGUUAAAGCUCCCGGCUCAACUGGGAGAGGCCCUUGGAUACUGCUAGUCUUGAGGUACCUAGGGGAGAGUGGAAUUCCGGGUGUAGUGGUGGAGUGCGUAGAUAUCCGGAGGAACACCAGUGGCGAAGGCGACUCUCUGGGGGUGACCUGACGCUGAGGCGCGAAAGCAUGGGGAGCAAACCGGAUUAGAUACCCGAGUAGU
This 414-nucleotide ribosomal RNA is filed under the name uncultured bacterium. RNAcentral's name for it is "bacterial SSU rRNA". It matches the Rfam family "Bacterial small subunit ribosomal RNA", at positions 355 to 794 of the family's 1533-position model. The record is from RNAcentral.